UACCUACCCCAUAUACAAGAGUCCUUGGUGG
Molecule: non-coding RNA, 31 nt
Filed under: Rattus norvegicus (Norway rat)
Lineage: Eukaryota; Metazoa; Chordata; Mammalia; Rodentia; Muridae
Source: RNAcentral